RNAcentral lists this long non-coding RNA (210 nucleotides) under Ananas comosus (pineapple). RNAcentral's name for it is "long non-coding RNA (ACOM_LNC021514)". The record is from RNAcentral. Lineage: Eukaryota; Viridiplantae; Streptophyta; Magnoliopsida; Poales; Bromeliaceae.
CCAGUUCCACCCCUAACCACAGGGUAUUAAAGUGAGGAAGUGCGAAACCAUAUGGUACUAACUUGAUACACUUUAAAUCACAUAGUACUAAAGUGAGAAAGUGCGAAACCAGAAGGUACUAACUUGAUACACCUUAAACCAUAGGGUACUAAAGUGAGAAAGUGAGAAACCACGGAGGGUAUUUGAAGUUUUCCCUUUUAAAAAUCUAUU